Molecule: ribosomal RNA, 338 nt
Filed under: uncultured Prevotella sp.
Lineage: Bacteria; Pseudomonadati; Bacteroidota; Bacteroidia; Bacteroidales; Prevotellaceae
Description: bacterial SSU rRNA
Rfam family: Bacterial small subunit ribosomal RNA
Source: RNAcentral
AGAGUUUGAUCCUGGCUCAGGAUGAACGCUAGCUACAGGCUUAACACAUGCAAGUCGAGGGGCAGCAUGAUCUUAGCUUGCUAAGAUUGAUGGCGACCGGCGCACGGGUGAGUAACGCGUAUCCAACCUUCCCCUUAGUAGGGCAUAGCCCGUAGAAAUGCGGAUUAAUACCCUAUGUUUUCCAAUGAGGACAUCUGAGCUGGAACAAAGAUUAAUCGCUAAGGGAUGGGGAUGCGUCUGAUUAGAUAGUAGGCGGGGUAACGGCCCACCUAGUCGACGAUCAGUAGGGGUUCUGAGAGGAAGGUCCCCCACAUUGGAACUGAGCCAUGAUCAAACUC